GGUUCUCUGGGAUGUUUGACAGAAAGCUUAGUCCCCGAGCCGAUAAUACCUUUUUAGGUUUUCAUUUUCGGCGCUAUUGCGCAAGCUCGACCCUUUUGGGAAAUCGAGAAGCCUACGGCACCGUCAUGCGAGCCGCCUUGAACAUUUCGGUUGUUCAAGGGUCUUGUUUUCAUCGGCAUCCUGGGAACCAC
Molecule: non-coding RNA, 191 nt
Filed under: Gammaproteobacteria bacterium
Lineage: Bacteria; Pseudomonadati; Pseudomonadota; Gammaproteobacteria
Description: 6S RNA
Rfam family: 6S / SsrS RNA
About the family: E. coli 6S RNA was the first non coding RNA to be sequenced, but its function was unknown until recently. It consists of 184 nucleotides that fold into an extended hairpin structure with a large single-stranded internal bulge. The 6S RNA specifically associates with RNA polymerase holoenzyme containing the sigma70 specificity factor.
Source: RNAcentral